ACACUUGUUAUUCCUUUUCUUUCUAAAAAAGAAACACAAUUAAAAAAUUCUAUCCCAACCAACUUUUGGAUAUAAUGCCAUUCAUUUGAAUUGCUUCAUUAUUAUUCUUACUAAACAAAGCACUAAAGACAAGUAAAAUAAAACAAAUACAAGAUAAAUACUCAUUUGUUGUCUAGUGCACAUAUUUUUGUUUGAUCAAGAUUAACCAAAUGACUUUUUUUAACCCCUCCCUGAAAUUUUGGGUCGUUUUUCUUCAUUGACACUCGAACUCAUAAUCUUAGGACUGAUUUGUGGAUCAUUUUUAACUUGUGGUAAUAAUCUCCUUCUGUAUCCAGAGAUUUCAGUAUCUAUACUCCAUCUCGCCCUGACUGAAAUUCAAUUAUAUAAAUUAUCAAAAUUAGAUUAUGGUUGGUAUAAGAUAAUUAAAAUGCAUACAUUCAAACAAUAAGUUUAGCAACACCUAUAUGCUGGAACGUAGAUUCGAAAUCAUUACUACCAUAAUAGGUAGAAUUUAGAUUGGUAGAGUCACAAUUUUCAUCAAGGGGAUUCAAAAUCAGAAUAAGUAAACGCGCGAAUUAGCCGAAGGAGGUCCGACUUUAAGCUGUAUAUACUAUAUAUAUGUAAAAAAAUAAUUUUAACCAUGUAUAAAUAAUAUAAUUUUCUAACGAAGGCGAUUGAGAUGAACCCUUGACUUUAAGCUGAUUCCGCCCAUGUUAGUGAUAUAUUAUCAAAAUAUUUAGAGUUACGAGUAAUUUAGCGACAAAUUAUCAACGGAAUUGAUAGUUAUUUUCAUUUUUUUCGUUUUUCAUGAAUAUAUAUAAUGAUAAAAAUAUAAAAAAAUAAAAUUAUAAUAUAUAAUCAUUUAAAUUUCUUCAUUAUUAUCCUUACAAAUUAAAACAACAAGAUCUUGCUCGGAAAAAUAAUGAAAUUAUUCAAGAGAUACUUCCAAAUGAAGCCAAAGAAAGUAAGACAAAUUAAAUAUAAAUUAAAACACAUCUAAGGAAAAUACUAAUUUGUUGUUUGAUCAAAGAUCAACAAAUUAUUUUUUUAACUCCUCCCUUGAACACCCAUUCUUUUUUGCUCCUUAGACACCCGAACUCGUAAUUUUAGGAUUGAAUUUCGGAACAUUUAUAAUUUGUGGUAAUAAUCUCCUUUCGAAUCCUGAAAUUUUAGGAUCUAUAUUUCAUUUCGUGCUGACUGAAAUUCAAUUAUAUAAAUUUGUCAAAAUUAGAUUAUGGUAUGUAUAAGAUAAAAAGCACUUUAAUAAUUAGUUUAGCAACGCCUUUAUGUCAAGAGCUUAGAUAUGAAAAUCACUAUUCUGUAGCUAAAUCCUAAUUAAUGAUAGGAUUAGUGAUAAAAGAAAAAGGUCAGCUUGAUGCACUAAAGCUCCAAUUAUGUACGGGGAUCAAUGAAGUGCCAAACCGCAAGGAUUUAUUUUAUGCAACAUUUCUGUAAGAGGUUAUUUUCAUGGCUUGAACUCAUGACCUCCUGGUCACUGGUCACAUGACAAUCACCUUAAUAAUUUAUUAGUGAUAUAUUAUCAGACCAUUUAAUUUUGUUAGUUACGAGAAAUUUAACGAUAAAUUAACAUCGGAAUUCAUAGUGUUUUUUCUUUUUUUUUUUUUUCUUUUUGUGGUGAAUAUAUAGAGAUAAGCAUCCAGUACCUCCUCGAACUAUGACCAAAGUUUCUACAACAUACUCUAACGUACUUUAUAUGGGUCUUAUUACCCCUGAAUUCAAUUUUAGUGUAUUUUUAUCACUCUUUUGUAUUGACAUGACACCUUUAUUAUAUAAAAAUGAGGCCCACAUCAAAGGUGUCACGUCGGCUAAAAAAGUGUCACAUUAAUUAAAAAGAGUGACAAAAAUAUGCUAAAAUUGAGUUCAGAGGUAAUAGGACCCUUGUGAAGUUGAAGUGUAUCGUAGCAAAUUUGAUCAGAAUUAAAGGGGUACUAGAUACUUUACUCGAAUAUAUGUAAUGAUAAAAAUACAGAAUUAUAAUAUAGAGAUAAGCAAGAAGGAAUCUAACCAUUGGGUGCCAUGAGAAGAAUAGUGAAUAUGAAGCCAAUCUUUAACAACACCAUGCUAGAAAAGAA
Molecule: long non-coding RNA, 2093 nt
Filed under: Capsicum annuum
Lineage: Eukaryota; Viridiplantae; Streptophyta; Magnoliopsida; Solanales; Solanaceae
Description: long non-coding RNA (CANN_LNC007457)
Source: RNAcentral